AGAAAACAGGGACCCA
RNAcentral lists this microRNA (16 nucleotides) under Corchorus olitorius. RNAcentral's name for it is "hsa-miR-42". The record is from RNAcentral. Lineage: Eukaryota; Viridiplantae; Streptophyta; Magnoliopsida; Malvales; Malvaceae.